CUGCGCUGCUGGAGGUUCGAGGACCUACCAGAGCCCAGGGUUCACCAAAUGAGAUGUGAUGUUGGCCAGCAGUGGGGAUUUGCCAGCAGACUCCUUUGAAGUGCUCAGGAACCAGAAUCAUCUCCUUCCCUGGAUGCAGCCCUUCCUGUGUUCUUCAAAGAAGAGAUGCAAAUUAAAAUCCUAUGGAACAAUACACUCCAAGUCUGUCCUUAUUCACCAGCUGGAGAAGAUCCACAUUCCCAUGUUUUGACACACAUGGAUUUGUUUGUCACUGGAGUCAGAGCUGUGUGGUUUUAGGCUCAAUAAACCUAUCAACAAACCAUUUGUGAACCUAAACACACCAGGUGAGCCAGCAGGGUUAUACUGGGAUAGGAACCUUGAGCAUCCCAUUGUCCUGUGGGUUUGAUGAGGUGGCUGAGGGGCAUAGAACACAAGCCUGCCCUAUGCCCAGGUGGGAUUUGCCUUCCUGGAGGGCUGCUGGGAGAAGAGAGAGCAGGCAGCUGAAGCUGGCCUGGAGGUUUGUGUGGGAAAUUGGAGGGAUUUGCUGUGCUUUGGCAGCUGCUGCCAAAGGUUGUGAGGAAUUAAUAGGUAGGGAGGUAUUUCAGUAAACCAGAACUGUAUUUCUAUUAUACUGAAAUACCAGUUAUUCCCAAUUUACCUGCUGAUCUCCCCAGGUGGAAUCACUGUUCCUCUUUCCUCAGACUCAGUUGUGUUCUCUCUGUGUUGGAAACCAAUCUUGGAAUAACUCACCAGAAAACUCGUUGAAUCCCUGUUCACAAGGGAUUCAAUAGUUUGAGUAUUGAGCCUUUUGUGUGUCCAAGUGUCAAUUCCAUAUUGUUUCUUUUUGCUUUCUUUGCAAAAGUACCAGAUAGCAGCCGGAUGCCUCAUGAAAGUGUUACAGCACACCAGCACUGCUGCCUCUUUCCAGAUCUUGUCCCAGUCAGAGCACUGAAGUUACACAAAUCCACAUUGAUUACCACUAAUGGUAUUUUUACAGAGUUCUUGAGUAGCUCACACUUCAGUGGCCUUUUGAAGCCGUGACUGUCCUCGUCCCCUGUCACUUUCUGAAGGAUCUGCCAGCUUGUUUUGUUGCACUGCUCUGGGACUGCUCCAGCCGUCUGUUUCUGGAAAAAGAGCGUUACUACUCCGGGGAAAUUCACUGCCUGAUUCCAUGUGGAACUUCUCUGGUGAUAUUGAGUGCGCCGCCAAGCCCAGAGGUGUAUUGACUCUUGUCCCAGCAAGGAUUGGAGCCUCCAGUGCUGCCCUAGAAUGCUUCCAGCCUAGCAAGAGAGGUGUGGGAUAAUGAGAAAUCAGCCAUCCUGGCUCCAGAGGAGCCGCUUGCUGCAGCUCCUUCCUGCCAGCGUCUGACAGAUGUUUCACAACCUCAGGUCAAUCUGUCAUUGCCUCAGGAAGCGUUUCUGGUCUACUGCCUAAAUCUCCCUCAUGGCAGUUUCAGUCCACUGCUUCACUCCAUGUCUCCUGUGCAUGUAGGGAAGAUUUAUUCUCUUUUUAUAGAAUCUGUAAUGUUGGAAAAAACUGCUGAGAUCAUUGAAGCCGGUAGCUGCAGUUUUGUGUCUGUGUGGUGUGUCACAUGUGGGGAAAUGGCUGUUUCCUCAUUUGCCCCCAAAGCAGAUGCAGCGGAUGCAUCUGGUGUCGGAAUGGAACCUCUGCCACAGGGAGGGGGCUGUGUUGUUUGUGCCCUUGCUUAGACAGGUCCUUGGAAAUUCCGGAGACAGGGAAGAGCUGUGGCUGCAGGGACUGUUGAGACACAGCACAAACACUCCUGGAAUGACCUGGGGACCUGUCUGCCUGACCACCAGCACAUCGUGCAGGAAUGAGGGGACAACAAGACCACCUUGCUCUGUGCCGUCUUUUAAUGCCUUGCCAUUCCCCGGCUGGUGGUAGGAGCAGAUACACGACUGCUGGCAUCCUGUAAUGCUGUGUGAUGCUUACCUCAUCCUCGGGUUGUGUCGGCAGGAGGAGGAGGGGAGCAUGGCAGGAUGAGAGGAUUACUUACAGCCAGCCUCCCUGAGCCCUGCAGCUCAUCUGUGCUGCUU
Molecule: long non-coding RNA, 2057 nt
Organism: Prinia subflava (tawny-flanked prinia)
Lineage: Eukaryota; Metazoa; Chordata; Aves; Passeriformes; Cisticolidae
Exons: 3
Source: RefSeq, a predicted model, not a curated record